GAUGAACGCUGGCGGCGUGCCUAAUACAUGCAAGUCGAGCGAACAGGUAAGGAGCUUGCUCCUUUGACGUUAGCGGCGGACGGGUGAGUAACACGUGGGUAACCUACCUAUAAGACUGGGAUAACUUCGGGAAACCGGAGCUAAUACCGGAUAAUAUUUCGAACCGCAUGGUUCGAUAGUGAAAGAUGGUUUUGCUAUCACUUAUAGAUGGACCCGCGCCGUAUUAGCUAGUUGGUAAGGUAACGGCUUACCAAGGCGACGAUACGUAGCCGACCUGAGAGGGUGAUCGGCCACACUGGAACUGAGACACGGUCCAGACUCCUACGGGAGGCAGCAGUAGGGAAUCUUCCGCAAUGGGCGAAAGCCUGACGGAGCAACGCCGCGUGAGUGAUGAAGGUCUUCGGAUCGUAAAACUCUGUUAUUAGGGAAGGACAUACGUGUAAGUAACUGUGCACGUCUUGACGGUACCUAAUCAGAAAGCCACGGCUAACUACGUG
Molecule: ribosomal RNA, 497 nt
Filed under: uncultured bacterium
Lineage: Bacteria
Description: partial 16S ribosomal RNA
Rfam family: Bacterial small subunit ribosomal RNA
Source: RNAcentral